This is a non-coding RNA of Fukomys damarensis (Damara mole-rat), 109 nucleotides long. NCBI's taxonomy places the organism in Eukaryota, Metazoa, Chordata, Mammalia, Rodentia, Bathyergidae. The record is from Rfam.
GUCUACGGCCAUACCACCCUGAACCCACCCGAUCUCAUCCGAUCUCGGAAGCUAAGCAGGAUGGGGCUGGUUAGUACUUGGAUGGGAGAAAUCUGCCUCAAGGUGUGUC